UGCUAUCGAGGUUCGACUAAGCCAUGCGAGUCGAAUGCCGCAAGGCAUGGCGUACUGCUCAGUAACACGUGGAUAACCUACCCUUGGGACGGGCAUAAACCCGGGAAACUGGGUAUAAUUCCCGAUAGGUCUGGGAGGCUGGAACGCAUUCAGACUGAAAGCUCCGGCACCCAAGGAUGGGUCUGCGGCCUAUCAGGUAGUAGUGGGUGUAACGUACCUACUAGCCUACUACGGGUACGGGUUGUGAGAGCAAGAGCCCGGAGAUGGAUUCUGAGACACGAAUCCAGGCCCUACGGGGUGCAGCAGGCGCGAAAACUUUACAAUGCGGGCAACCGCGAUAAGGGGACCUCGAGUGCCGACAUCAAAUGUCGGCUGUCGUGAUGCCUAAAAAGCAUUACAUAGCAAGGGCCGGGCAAGACCGGUGCCAGCCGCCGCGGUAACACCGGCGGCUCGAGUGGUGACCGCUAUUAUUGGGUUUAAAGGGUCUGUAGCCGGCCGGAUAAG
This 504-nucleotide ribosomal RNA is filed under the name uncultured archaeon. RNAcentral describes it as "bacterial SSU rRNA". It matches the Rfam family "Archaeal small subunit ribosomal RNA", at positions 28 to 537 of the family's 1478-position model. The record is from RNAcentral.